AUACCUUUCUCGGCCUUUUGGUUAAGAUCAAGUGUAGUAUCUGUUUUAUCGGUUAAAGGUAACCAUUUUCUUUACCUUUUGGGAUACCAUGACUAUUUUAGCUUCUUUUAUCCAAGAGGCAGCAUUUGCGUUUAGCUCACAGAUUGAGUGCUCAUUUUCGAAAUGUAUG
This is a small nuclear RNA of Nicotiana attenuata, 169 nucleotides long. It matches the Rfam family "U2 spliceosomal RNA". Rfam says of the family: U2 is a small nuclear RNA (snRNA) component of the spliceosome (involved in pre-mRNA splicing). Complementary binding between U2 snRNA (in an area lying towards the 5' end but 3' to hairpin I) and the branchpoint sequence (BPS) of the intron results the bulging out of an unpaired adenosine, on the BPS, which initiates a nucleophilic attack at the intronic 5' splice site, thus starting the first of two transesterification reactions that mediate splicing. Lineage: Eukaryota; Viridiplantae; Streptophyta; Magnoliopsida; Solanales; Solanaceae. The record is from Rfam.